UGGGGAAUAUUGGACAAUGGGCGAAAGCCUGAUCCAGCCAUGCCGCGUGUGUGAAGAAGGUCUUCGGAUUGUAAAGCACUUUAAGUUGGGAGGAAGGGCAGUAAGCUAAUACCUUGCUGUUUUGACGUUACCGACAGAAUAAGCACCGGCUAACUCUGUGCCAGCAGCCGCGGUAAUACAGAGGGUGCAAGCGUUAAUCGGAAUUACUGGGCGUAAAGCGCGCGUAGGUGGUUCGUUAAGUUGGAUGUGAAAUCCCCGGGCUCAACCUGGGAACUGCAUCCAAAACUGGCGAGCUAGAGGAUGGUAGAGGGUGGUGGAAUUUCCUGUGUAGCGGUGAAAUGCGUAGAUAUAGGAAGGAACACCAGUGGCGAAGGCGACCACCUGGACUGAUACUGACACUGAGGUGCGAAAGCGUGGGGAGCAAACAGG
This 429-nucleotide ribosomal RNA is filed under the name Acidobacteriota bacterium. RNAcentral's name for it is "Acidobacteria bacterium partial 16S ribosomal RNA". It matches the Rfam family "Bacterial small subunit ribosomal RNA", at positions 355 to 776 of the family's 1533-position model. The record is from RNAcentral. Lineage: Bacteria; Pseudomonadati; Acidobacteriota.